This 460-nucleotide ribosomal RNA is filed under the name uncultured bacterium. RNAcentral describes it as "partial 16S ribosomal RNA". It matches the Rfam family "Bacterial small subunit ribosomal RNA", at positions 338 to 795 of the family's 1533-position model. The record is from RNAcentral.
CCUACGUGAGUCAGCAGUGAGGAAUAUUGGUCAAUGGACGAGAGUCUGAACCAGCCAAGUCGCGUGAAGGAUGACUGCCCUAUGGGUUGUAAACUUCUUUUAUAUGGGAAUAAAAUGUUCCACGUGUGGGAUUUUGUAUGUACCAUAUGAAUAAGGAUCGGCUAACUCCGUGCCAGCAGCCGCGGUAAUACGGAGGAUCCGAGCGUUAUCCGGAUUUAUUGGGUUUAAAGGGAGCGUAGGUGGAUUGUUAAGUCAGUUGUGAAAGUUUGCGGCUCAACCGUAUAAUUGCAGUUGAAACUGGAAGUCUUGAGUACAGGAGAGGUGGGCGGAAUUCGUGGUGUAGCGGUGAAAUGCUUAGAUAUCACGAAGAACUCCGAUUGCGAAGGCAGCUCACUGGACUGCAACUGACACUGAGGCUCGAAAGUGUGGGUAUCAAACAGGAUUAGAUACCCUUGUAGUC